AGCGAACGCUGGCGGCAGGCCUAACACAUGCAAGUCGAACGGAUCCUUCGGGAUUAGUGGCGGACGGGUGAGUAACACGUGGGAACGUGCCCUUUGGUUCGGAACAACUCAGGGAAACUUGAGCUAAUACCGGAUGUGCCCUUCGGGGGAAAGAUUUAUCGCCAUUGGAGCGGCCCGCGUAGGAUUAGCUAGUUGGUGGGGUAAAGGCCCACCAAGGCUACGAUCCUUAGCUGGUCUGAGAGGAUGAUCAGCCACAUUGGGACUGAGACACGGCCCAAACUCCUACGGGAGGCAGCAGUGGGGAAUCUUGCGCAAUGGGCGAAAGCCUGACGCAGCCAUGCCGCGUGAAUGAUGAAGGUCUUAGGAUUGUAAAAUUCUUUCACCGGGGGACGAUAAUGACGGUACCCGGAGAAGAAGCCCCGGCUAACUUCGUGCCAGCAGCCGCGGUAAU
This 451-nucleotide ribosomal RNA is filed under the name uncultured bacterium. RNAcentral describes it as "bacterial SSU rRNA". It matches the Rfam family "Bacterial small subunit ribosomal RNA", at positions 29 to 524 of the family's 1533-position model. The record is from RNAcentral.